CACGUAGGGGACGAGCGUUGUCCGGAUUCAUUGGGCGUGAAGCGCGCGUAGGCGGCUCGGAAAGUCGGGUGUGAAAGCCCGGGGCUCAACCCCGGGACUGCAUCCGAUACUUCCGGGCUGGAGGUAGGUAGGGGAGAUCGGAAUUCCUGGUGUAGCGGUGAAAUGCGCAGAUAUCAGGAGGAACACCGGUGGCGAAGGCGGAUCUCUGGGCCUUACCUGACGCUGAGGCGCGAAAGCUAGGGGAGCGAACAGG
Molecule: ribosomal RNA, 253 nt
Filed under: uncultured bacterium
Lineage: Bacteria
Description: partial 16S ribosomal RNA
Rfam family: Bacterial small subunit ribosomal RNA
Source: RNAcentral